AUAGCCGUUAAACCAACGAACUUUAAAUUUUUUUGAAAGAGAGUGAGAUGAAAGCAGCAAAGGUCGCCAAAAACCAUCCCAACAACAAAGCAGACGGAGCUGCCUCUCUGCUCAAAUCCUGCACUUCGCUCUGCCACCUCAAACAAAUCCACGCCCACAUCUUCCGAUCAAACCUCCACCAGAACGCCUCCUUAGCCUCCACUCUCAUCUCUUUCUACGCCUCUCUCUCCGCCUCGCCUCGCUACACCCACCUCGUCUUCACCUCUUUCCCCAAGCCAAAUCUAUCUCUCUUCAACCACGCCGUCAGGGCUUUCUCUAAGAUCUCCGUGCUCUGUUUCGAGGCGGUGAGUUUGUAUUCGCAGAUGGUUUCUGUUGGAAUUAGACCUGAUAACUAUACGUACCCUUUUGUGCUGAAUUCUUGCGCUGCGUUGAGUGAUAUUUGUGGUGGGACUGAAGUCCAUGGACGCAUUGUGAAAAUGGGUUUUGGGUUUUGUCUUCCAGUUUCGAAUGCUUUGAUUGAUAUGUAUGGGAAAUGUGGGGAGGUGGGGAGGGCGCGGAAGCUGUUUGAUGAAAUGUGUGAGAGAGAUGUUGUUUCUUACAAUGCGGUUUUGGGGGCUCAUGCAAGAGGCGGGGUUGAUAUGGGGAGUGCUUUGGUUUUGUUUGAGGGGAUGCUGGGGAAAAAUGUGAUAUCUUGGAACGCCAUGGUCGUGGGUUAUGUAAAUAGUGGGGAUCUGGUUUCGGCAAGGGCUGUGUUUGAUAGGAUGCCUGACAGGAAUGCUGUUUCUUGGAGUACAAUGUUGGUGGGGUAUACGAAAAGCGGUUUUAUGGAUCAGGCUAAGGCCCUCUUUGAUGAAAUGCCUGAGCGGGGAUUGAUUUGCUGGACGGCUAUGAUUUCAGGGUAUUCCCAAUAUGGGAGGCCAAGCAAAGCACUUUCACUUUUCCGGAGAAUGGAAAAGGCACGAGUAAAGCCAGAUGCUUUCACCAUGACAGCUGUGAUCUCUGCAUUGGCACAGUUGGGUCGUGCAGAUCUGGCAAACUGGAUUGGAGCAUAUGUGGAUAGAGAAGGCAUAGAACAGAAUGAACAAGUGCUUACUGCACUAGUUGACAUGCAUGCCAAAUGUGGGAAUAUGGAAGAGGCAUGCACCAUAUUUGAAAAGAUUCCCCUAAAGGAUGUUUUCUCUUACAGUGCAAUAAUCACAGGUCUUGCUUCAAAUGGUCAUGGGGUCAAAGCGCUCAAGAUCUUCCAGAGAAUGCUGGCACAAAAUAUUGAACCCGAUCGCAUCACAUUUAUUGGGGUAUUCACUGCCUGUUGCCAUGCAGGACUCGUUGAAGAUGGAAUGGGGUACUGGGAAAGCAUGGUUAAAGAUUACAACAUUGAGCCCGAUGCUGAUCACUAUACUUGCACAGUUGAUAUGCUGGGACGCGCUGGGAAACUCAAUGAGGCCAGCGAUGUGGUCAAGGGAAUGCCUAUGGGGCCACAGCCAGGAGCACUAGGAGCCCUUCUUGCAGCAUGUAGAACAUAUGGAAAUGUCGAGAUUGCAGAAAGUGUUGCUGAGCAACUCUUCAUUUUAGAACCUGGGAAUACUGGAAAUUAUACGCUACUUUCAAGUAUCUAUGCGUCAAAAGAACUAUGGGAUGAAGCCAGAAAGGUGCGGGAAGCAAUGAACGGGAGAAAUGCACUUAAGCUUCCUGGGUGCAGUUGGGUUGAAAUUAGCAAAGGUCAUGCAGCUCAAAUGAAAAACCAAACUGAGACAGCAAUUCAAUGCUUGAGAUGAUCGUCAAUCCCCAGGUCCAAGUUGCAUGCAAGAAUUUGAAAGCAACCAACCAAUAAAUGAACCGCGUGCUGCCAGAUUUUGUUCUCCUCGGCCCUGCUUAAGCUUCCAUUUCUCAAUCCAUUAAAUCCUCAGUUGAUUGGAAGCAAAUACUCUAACUUAUGAGCGCCCUAUGUGGUCCCUUGUCACCUUAUCUCACGGCCAACCCUGCUUAAAUAUAGUAACCAAGGGCAGAUACCAAGCCUUGAUGAAAGCCAUGCUUGGGAACAAGAAAGUUAGAGGAACGAAUGAAGGCGAUCCAAACAAGUUCAUAAAGCCCCCCAUGAAAGGAAUAGCUGCUGUCACGAAUGUAUUCGCUAUGAAGAAGAGCGCUAGCAGGCAGAACCUUCGCUUCAAAUGUUAGAUCUCAAAAGCAAGGUAAGCACAAACUUCUCAACUACAAUACGCAGAUAAAGACACUUGGAUUAUAAGGGAUGUCUACGUAUUACUGCAGUAUGUAUACCGGAGACCCUGUCCAGAUCCACACGUGCAAAGACA
Pyrus x bretschneideri (Chinese white pear) is the source of this 2309-nucleotide RNA transcript. It is a transcript of the gene named putative pentatricopeptide repeat-containing protein At5g37570, with no coding region annotated. The transcript has 3 exons. Lineage: Eukaryota; Viridiplantae; Streptophyta; Magnoliopsida; Rosales; Rosaceae. The record is from RefSeq and is a predicted model, not a curated record.